AGAGGAGAAUUAAACCUUUUACAGCAUUGCUCAAACUUUGGUUUUAGUCUCAAUCGCUAAGUUCUUCCUUCAUGACAACUCUGAGGGGGGUGUAUUUUAUUUUAACUCCCUCGUUUAAGCGAUAUAGAUGUUUGAAAUUCACGUGACGUCACAGUGUAAGCUGUGCUGUGUGUUGUGAGUUCGGCUUUAACCAGUUACAAGUGAACGCCUCAUGAAAUGGCUUACACCCACAUACCCGGUAAAUUACACACUUUGAUGUUCUGCUCCUUCUCCUGACGGUCACGGUAACGAUGUCUGCGCCUCCGUUUCUGUGGAUGUCCAGCGUGAGACACAACUUGAAUCCAACCAGACUGAACACUGACUCCAGGGACGGACGAGCCUGAAGGACACAGCUGUGAUGACCAUGUUCUGUCUCUUAUGACAAAGCAGAAAUAUAAAACACUGGGUUCUUAUCUAAAGUGUAUCAAAUCAGAUCUCCACCAUGUUGCUGCUGAGGACAUCAGGUGCUGCAGUUCUUCAUCUAUGAAGAUGAAAAAACUCACUGUUAAAGAAUGUUUUGUGUUGUGUAUGAAGCACAACAGAUUUCAGAUAGAACCGUUGUACUGUGGUCUGGGUUUGUAUCCUAAUGGUUAAAUGCACAUAUUUUAUGUCGCUUUUGAUAAAAGUACUGAAAGAAAUACAACAUUGUAAAAAUAGAUAAAAUGUCUUUCUACCUCAUCUGUAAUAUUCAAGGUGAUAAUCUCCCACAGAGCUAUUGAUAACAGUCCACAUCAAGUCUCUCCACUUCCCUCGGUGUGAAAACAUAAUUAUAUAAUUAAUUUGAGAACUGUUUACAACACUGAUGUGUGGAGAUUAUAAUCAUAUCUAAACUGUCAUAUUCACUGUAAAACUCCAUGACAGGCUAAAUAAACGCGGUGGGAAUAGUAAUGGUGGAUAUAAUAUAUUGUAACUUUACUAGAACAGACAGUGUUCAUAGAGAAUUUGAAAAUGAUGUACACUACCUAUUUCCUAAGAUGAAAUGAUUAUGAUCUGAUUAUUUUUAUGUUUCCUCUCAUUUUAUUAGGGACGGACGAGCCUGAAGGACACAGCUGUGAUGACCAAUUGACCAUGUUUUGUCUCUUAUGGCAAAGCAGAAAUAUUAAACACUGGGUUCUUAUCUAAAGUGUAUCAAAUCAGAAAGCAAAAGAUACACAUUGUUGUAAUAAGUUUUUAUUAUUUUAACCAACCAUAAUAAAGAUAGAAAUGAAUUGUUA
This is a long non-coding RNA of Pleuronectes platessa (European plaice), 1253 nucleotides long. RefSeq lists it as uncharacterized. The transcript is spliced from 3 exons. The record is from RefSeq and is a predicted model, not a curated record. NCBI's taxonomy places the organism in Eukaryota, Metazoa, Chordata, Actinopteri, Pleuronectiformes, Pleuronectidae.